Molecule: long non-coding RNA, 1590 nt
Organism: Manis javanica (Malayan pangolin)
Lineage: Eukaryota; Metazoa; Chordata; Mammalia; Pholidota; Manidae
Source: RefSeq, a predicted model, not a curated record
GGCUGGCAUGCCAGGUGACCAGUGAGGCAUGAGACAGUGCUGCUUAAUUCCUGAACCUAGACUCUGAUUGCACUUUACAUGUAAACACACCAAAUAUCUUCUGUCAAGGUUUUAAUAUACCGAAUUUUCCAGAAAUGCAACCACUGGAUAAAGCAGGGGAAAAACUCUACUUUCUUCUGUUCAGAACUUUACCAAGACUUACUCACCUCAUCAGCUGCUGCCUACAUCUUUGUUCUCUGUGAGGAAUAUACACCCCCAGGGGCCCCUUUCUCAACCGUGGCCGAGCAGCCAGGUCUGGGCCACCAGGCCGGGUUCCGUUAUGGGAAGGAACUAGCAGAUCUAAUGGAAUCAUGCCGACUGGGCCAGGAGCAGCAUGGAAGUGUUGGUGUUCUUAAGUCCCAGAGAUGCUGAGGUGGCAAAAAUACUCAUGUUCCCAGACUCUCCUGCAAUCAGCUGUGCAAUGAGAUGUAGGUGGAAGCUUUCCACUCCCCCCAAAAGACAAAGCACCUGGAAGAGAGGACUUUGACUUUUUAUCCUCCUUUUGCCCAUUACCCCAACUUUCUCUUCCUGCCUGGAAUGUGGAUUUGAUGCCUGGAAGCAGAGAAGCCGUCUUGAGACCAUGAGGAUCAAAGCCAGAUGCUCAGAAGGGGGAAGAGGGAAGAAGGAAGAUGCCCGAGCCCUCCAGCAGCUGUGCCACCACUGGGUCACCCAGCUCUGCACUUCUUGUCAUGUUUGUCCAAGCUGUCACCUGUUGAAUUUCCCAUUCCUCCAGCUGAUGUACUAUGCGUACACAAACAUUUAUAUUUAUCUCUAUCCUUUCUUCCCCACAAAAAUGGUAGCAUAUACGACCCCUAUCCUUCAGGAUAUUACUUCCUCAUUUAAUGAUGUGUCUUGGAGGUUGUUAUAAAUCAGUACAUACACAGUCGCACCAAACUUUUUACAUAAAUGUGUCAAAGCUGCCCCACAGAGCCUUUAACUACUCAUGUCUUAAGCCACAUUUCGAUUGUUCUCAACUUUGCAAAGAUUAUCCAGGUACAUAUUUAAUUUCCCUCAUGUGAGUGUGUAUCUACUGGAGUAUAAUUGCUGAAUGAAGGGGCACGUACCUUUGAAAUGUUGCUAGAUGUUGUCAAAUUGCCCUGCAGAGGCUGGGUCAAUCUGCAUUCCACCAGCAAUGUACUGGAAUAUCCACAUAUUAUCUCUAGUCCUUUCAACAACAACACAGGAUAAUUCCCAUUUUGCUGAGGCUCAGAGAAUUGUACGUGGCCUGUGCAAGGACACUGCAGGUAACUGGGUCUUGAACCAGGAUCUGUCUGAUGUCAAAGCUGUGCUUAUGAACACUUACAUGACAUUGCUUCCCAGGCAUGCUGGAUUCCAGUGACUCUCAGCAAAACUGGAAGAGUGAAUAUUCUGUGCUUCAGAAGGGCCACUGGGGAGCUGCAGAGAGACCCACAUAUGUCCUAGGCUGGCUUCCGGCUUGGAUCUGCCACUGUGAGCAAGUCCUGUCCCCUCUCUGGGCCUCAGUGUCCCCAUCUGUAAAAUGAACAGCUUGGAGGAUGGCUACCAUCCAAAAGACAAACAACAACAAAUGUU